RNAcentral lists this ribosomal RNA (468 nucleotides) under uncultured bacterium. RNAcentral describes it as "partial 16S ribosomal RNA". It matches the Rfam family "Bacterial small subunit ribosomal RNA", at positions 28 to 507 of the family's 1533-position model. The record is from RNAcentral.
GACGAACGCUGGCGGCGUGCUUAACACAUGCAAGUCGAACGGAAAGGCCCUGCUUUUGUGGGGUGCUCGAGUGGCGAACGGGUGAGUAACACGUGAGUAACCUGCCCUUGACUUUGGGAUAACUUCAGGAAACUGGGGCUAAUACCGGAUAGGAGCUCCUGCUGCAUGGUGGGGGUUGGAAAGUUUCGGCGGUUGGGGAUGGACUCGCGGCUUAUCAGCUUGUUGGUGGGGUAGUGGCCUACCAAGGCUUUGACGGGUAGCCGGCCUGAGAGGGCGACCGGCCACAUUGGGACUGAGAUACGGCCCAGACUCCUACGGGAGGCAGCAGUGGGGAAUAUUGCACAAUGGGCGGAAGCCUGAUGCAGCAACGCCGCGUGCGGGAUGACGGCCUUCGGGUUGUAAACCGCUUUCGCCUGUGACGAAGCGUGAGUGACGGUAAUGGGUAAAGAAGCACCGGCUAACUACGUG